RNAcentral lists this ribosomal RNA (229 nucleotides) under uncultured bacterium. RNAcentral describes it as "partial 16S ribosomal RNA". It matches the Rfam family "Bacterial small subunit ribosomal RNA", at positions 568 to 796 of the family's 1533-position model. The record is from RNAcentral.
UGCGUAGGCGGACUAAUAAGUCAGUGGUGAAAUCUUUCGGCUCAACCGAGAAACUGCCAUUGAUACUGUUAGUCUUGAGUUCGGUUGAGGUAGGCGGAAUGUGUAAUGUAGCGGUGAAAUGCUUAGAUAUUACACAGAACACCAAUUGCGUAGGCAGCUUACUAGACCGACACUGACGCUGAGGCACGAAAGCGUGGGGAGCGAAAAGGAUUAGAUACCCUGGUAGUCC